AUCCAACUCAAUCAAAUUUGAAUGAUCUUUGAGGCAUUGGUGCUUAACCUGAAACAUUAACUCAAUUGUAAGCUCAAAAGACCACUAGGACUAGCCUAGGGUCAAAAACAAAUAAGAAAUCCAAAACAGCAAGCCACAUUCAAUCAAAAUCAAAAUCAAUCAUUUAAGAAGCAAGCACAAUUGGAUUCACAAUCAUAUCAUGCAUCAUUGUCAUUUCAUACACAAAAGAAUGCAAAGCAUGGCAAAGGAAGCAUACAAAAGGUCAAC
This 267-nucleotide long non-coding RNA is filed under the name Lathyrus oleraceus (garden pea). RNAcentral describes it as "Pisum sativum (pea) long non-coding RNA (PSAT_LNC028085)". Lineage: Eukaryota; Viridiplantae; Streptophyta; Magnoliopsida; Fabales; Fabaceae. The record is from RNAcentral.